This 468-nucleotide ribosomal RNA is filed under the name uncultured bacterium. RNAcentral describes it as "partial 16S ribosomal RNA". It matches the Rfam family "Bacterial small subunit ribosomal RNA", at positions 28 to 507 of the family's 1533-position model. The record is from RNAcentral.
GACGAACGCUGGCGGCGUGCUUAACACAUGCAAGUCGAACGGAAAGGCCCUGCUUUUGUUGGUUGCUCGAUUGCCGAACGGGUGAGUAACACGUGAGUAACCUCCCCUUGACUUUGUGAUAACUUCACGAAACUGGGGCUAAUACCCCAUAUGAUCUCCUGCUGCAUGUUGGUGGUUGGUAAGUUUCGGCGGUUGGGGAUGGACUGGCGGCUUAUCAGCUUGUUGGUGUGGUAGUGGCUUACAAAGGCUUUGACGGGUAGCCGGCCUGGGAGGGUGACCGGCGACAUUGGGACUGAGAUAGGGAGCAGAAUGCUACGGGAGGCAGCAGUGGGGAAUCUGGCAGAAUGGGCGGGAGUGAGAGGCAGAAACGCCGCGUGCGGGAUGACGGGCUACGGGUUGUAAACCGAUUUCGAAGGUGACGAAGAGUGAGUGACGGUAAUGGGUAAAGAAGCACCGGCUAACUACGUG